CUACGGGGGGCUCCAGUGAGGAAUAUUGCACAAUGGGGGGAACCCUGAUGCAGCAACGCCGCGUGGAGGAUGACGCAUUUCGGUGUGUAAACUCCUUUUAUAUGUCAAGAAAAUGACGGUAGCAUAUGAAUAAGCGCCGGCUAACUCCGUGCCAGCAGCCGCGGUAAUACGGAGGGCGCAAGCGCUACUCGGAAUCACUGGGCGUAAAGGACGCGUAGGCGGGUUGAAAAGUCAGGUGUGAAAGCCUACAGCUUAACUGUAGAACUGCACUUGAAACUCUCAAUCUAGAGUAUGGGAGGGGCAGAUGGAAUUAGUGGUGUAGGGGUAAAAUCCGUAGAUAUCACUAGGAAUACCUAAAGCGAAGGCGAUCUGCUGGAACAUUACUGACGCUAAGGCGUGAAAGCGUGGGGAGCAAACAGGAUUAGAUACCCGAGUAGUC
RNAcentral lists this ribosomal RNA (439 nucleotides) under uncultured bacterium. RNAcentral describes it as "partial 16S ribosomal RNA". It matches the Rfam family "Bacterial small subunit ribosomal RNA", at positions 339 to 795 of the family's 1533-position model. The record is from RNAcentral.